GAUGAACGCUAGCGGCAGGCCUAACACAUGCAAGUCGAGGGGUAACAUAGAAAAGCUUGCUUUUCUGAUGACGACCGGCGCACGGGUGCGUAACGCGUAUACAACCUACCUUUUAGCGGGGAAUAGCCCAGGGAAACUUGGAUUAAUGCCUCAUAGUAUAUAAGCUUCUCCUGAAGUUUAUAUUAAACAUUUAUGGCUAUUAGAUGGGUAUGCGUCCUAUUAGUUAGUUGGUAAGGUAACGGCUUACCAAGGCAGCGAUAGGUAGGGGUCCUGAGAGGGAGAUCCCCACACUGGUACUGAGACACGGACCAGACUCCUACGGGAGGCAGCAGUGGGGAAUAUUGGACAAUGGGCGAGAGCCUGAUCCAGCCAUGCCGCGUGCAGGAAGACUGCCCUAUGGGUUGUAAACUGCUUUUACAGAGGAAGAACCACCCCCACGUGUGGGGGUUUGACGGUACUCUGCGAAUAAGGAUCGGCUAACUCCGUG
This 487-nucleotide ribosomal RNA is filed under the name uncultured bacterium. RNAcentral's name for it is "bacterial SSU rRNA". It matches the Rfam family "Bacterial small subunit ribosomal RNA", at positions 28 to 507 of the family's 1533-position model. The record is from RNAcentral.